Molecule: ribosomal RNA, 889 nt
Filed under: Paragaeumannomyces albidus
Lineage: Eukaryota; Fungi; Ascomycota; Sordariomycetes; Chaetosphaeriales; Chaetosphaeriaceae
Description: 28S large subunit ribosomal RNA
Rfam family: Eukaryotic large subunit ribosomal RNA
Source: RNAcentral
AUAUCAAUAAGCGGAGGAAAAGAAACCAACAGGGAUUGCCCUAGUAACGGCGAGUGAAGCGGCAACAGCUCAAAUUUGAAAUCUGGCCUCAGGCCCGAGUUGUAAUUUGCAGAGGAUGCUUCGGGCGCAGCACCGUCCAAGUCCCCUAGAACGGGGCGCCAGAGAGGGUGAGAGCCCCGUAUUGACGGACGCCAAGCCUAUGUGAAGCUCCUUCGACGAGUCGAGUAGUUUGGGAAUGCUGCUCAAAAUGGGAGGUAGACCCCUUCUAAAGCUAAAUACCGGCCAGAGACCGAUAGCGCACAAGUAGAGUGAUCGAAAGAUGAAAAGCACUUUGAAAAGAGGGUUAAAUAGUACGUGAAAUUGUUGAAAGGGAAGCGCUUGUGACCAGACUUGCGCCGAGGUGAUCAUCUGGCGUUUUUCGCUAGUGCACUCGCCCCGGCUCAGGCCAGCGUCGGUUCACGCGGGGGGAUAAUGGCGCUGGGAACGUAGCUCCCCCGGGAGUGUUAUAUCCCAGCGUGUCAUGCCCUCGUGUGGACCGAGGUUCGCGCUCUGCAAGGACGCUGGCGUAAUGGUUACUAGCGACCCGUCUUGAAACACGGACCAAGGAGUCGAGGUUCUGCGCGAGUGUUUGGGUGUCAAACCCGCACGCGUAAUGAAAGUGAACGCAGGUGGGAGCUUCGGCGCACCACCGACCGAUCCUGAUGUUCUCGGAUGGAUUUGAGUAGGAGCGUAGGGCCUCGGACCCGAAAGAUGGUGAACUAUGCUUGGAUAGGGUGAAGUCAGAGGAAACUCUGAUGGAGGCUCGCAGCGGUUCUGACGUGCAAAUCGAUCGUCAAAUCUAAGCAUGGGGGCGAAAGACUAAUCGAACCAUCUAGUAGCUGGUUACCGC